GCGUGCCUAACACAUGCAAGUCGAACGGGGUUUAUUCCUUCGGGAGUAAACCUAGUGGCGAACGGGUGAGUAACGCGUGAGGAACCUGCCUUUCAGUGGGGGACAACAGUUGGAAACGACUGCUAAUACCGCAUAAUGCAGCGAGGUCGCAUGAUCCUGCUGCCAAAGAUUUAUUGCUGAAAGAUGGCCUCGCGUCUGAUUAGAUAGUUGGUGAGGUAACGGCCCACCAAGUCUGCGAUCAGUAGCCGGACUGAGAGGUUGAACGGCCACAUUGGGACUGAGAUACGGCCCAGACUCCUACGGGAAGGGCAGCAGUUGGGGAAUUAUUAGGCAAUGGGGGGAAACCCUUACCUAGCAACGCCCGCCUGAAGGAAGAAGGCUUUCGGGUUGUAAACUUCUUUUUACCAGGGACGAAGGACGUGACGGUACCUGGGAGAAAAAAGCCACGGCUAAUUACGUGCCAGCAGCCGCGGUUAUACGUAGGUGGCAAGCGUUGUCCGGAUUUACUGGGUGUAAAGGGCGUGUAGGCGGAAAGGCAAGUCAGAAGUGAAAUCCCCGGGCUUAACCCCGGGAACUGCUUUUGAAACUGUCUUCCUUGAGUAUCGGAGAGGCAGGCGGAAUUCCUAGUGUAGCGGUGAAAUGCGUAGAUAUUAGGAAGAACACCGGUGGCGAAGGCGGCCUGCUGGACGACAACUGACGCUGAGGCGCGAAAGCGUGGGGAGCAAACAGGAUUAGAUACCCUGGUAGUCCACGCUGUAAACGAUGAAUACUAGGUGUGGGGAGGACUGACCCUUUCCGUGCCGCAGUUAACACAAUAAGUAUUCCACCUGGGGAGUACGAUCGCAAGAUUGAAACUCAAAGGAAUUGACGGGGGCCCGCACAAGCAGUGGAUUAUGUGGUUUAAUUCGACGCAACGCGAAGAACCUUACCAGGAUUUGACAUCCCACUAACGAAGCAGAGAUGCAUUAGGUGCCCUUCGGGGAAAGUGGAGACAGGUGGUGCAUGGUUGUCGUCAGCUCGUGUCGUGAGAUGUUGGGUUAAGUCCCGCAACGAGCGCAACCCCUAUUGUUAGUUGCUACGAAAGAGCACUCUAGCGAGACUGCCGUUGAUAAAACGGAGGAAGGCGGGGACGACGUCAAAUCAUCAUGCCCCUUACGUCCUGGGCUACACACGUAAUACAAUGGCGAUCAACAAAGGGAAGCAAAGCUGUGAAGUGGAGCAAAUCCCCAAAAGUCGUCUCAGUUCGGACUGCAGUCUGCAACUCGACUGCACGAAGUCGGAAUUGCUAGUAAUCGUGGAUCAGCAUGCCACGGUGAAUNCGUUCCCGGGCCUUGCCCUCAACGCCCGUCA
Molecule: ribosomal RNA, 1350 nt
Filed under: uncultured bacterium
Lineage: Bacteria
Description: bacterial SSU rRNA
Rfam family: Bacterial small subunit ribosomal RNA
Source: RNAcentral